Molecule: transfer RNA, 87 nt
Filed under: Meleagris gallopavo (turkey)
Lineage: Eukaryota; Metazoa; Chordata; Aves; Galliformes; Phasianidae
Description: tRNA-Ser (TGA) (tRNA-Ser-TGA-4-1)
Rfam family: tRNA
About the family: Transfer RNA (tRNA) molecules are approximately 80 nucleotides in length.
Source: RNAcentral
GGAAGCGUGGCAGAGUGGUCGAUUGCACCGGUCUUGAAAACCGGCAAGGGGUUAAACCCUUCGUGGGUUCGAAUCCCACCGCUUCCG